Molecule: long non-coding RNA, 189 nt
Organism: Diceros bicornis minor
Lineage: Eukaryota; Metazoa; Chordata; Mammalia; Perissodactyla; Rhinocerotidae
Exons: 3
Source: RefSeq, a predicted model, not a curated record
GGUGCUUCCUGACUGAGCAGCCUGCUGCCCCCAGCCGAGUUUGGUGGCAGCAGUGGGAUCCAAAUGAGACAUCUGAUGGCUUAGGGGAUGAGAAACACAGGCAUUGGUACCUGCAAAACCUUUGAGUUCUCCAUCCUUUUUGCUGUUUCUGAGGGCCGUGGCUCCAGCGCCAGCUACAGAGCUCCAGCC